AUGAUGCGCUCAGAUUUUGUUCUUGUUCGUGUCGUUAACAUUGAAAAAUUUUAUGUGUUUGUAAAUUGUUAUAAAGUUAUUUUGUUCACGUGUCUUAAUUUCACCCUCCUUUCUGAAGGACAGCCUGAGUGUGUGCAGAGUUCGGUUAACGUCCGUGGACAUGGCUCUGAGGCCCCGACGGGACGCCCGCUCUCCCCCAGCCCUUGUGGGGCCUCUCUGUCUUUCACGCCACGCAGUUCGCUUAAGGUGUGUCCGUGGAGAAGCGUUUCAGGCUUUCUGACCUGGAGUUUGUUGAGCUUCUACAGCGUGUACAUUAAUGGUGUUCAUCAAAUUUGCCAAGUUUUGGGCCAUUAUUUUUUCAAAUAUUUUGUGUCCUGUUCUCACCUUCCCCUGUUUCUGGGACUCCACUCUGCCAGUGUGCUUACUGGUGCCCGUGGGGCUGAGGCACCACUUUGUGUUCUCCAUGCUCUUCAGUGCUCCCCUGUGCUCUCUGUGCUCCCCUGUCUCCAUGCUCCCCCAUGCUCCCCGGUGCUCCCUGUGCCCUCUGUGCCCCCUGUGCUCCCAUGUGCUCCCCUGUGCUCCUCCGUGCUCUCCGUGCUCCCCUGUGCUCCUUUGUGCUCCCACGUGCUCCCCUGUGCUCCUCUGUGCUCCUCUGUGCUCCCAUGUGCUCCCCUGUGCUGUCCGUGCUCCCCAGUGCUCCUCUGUGCCCCCUGUGCUCCCCUGUGCUCCCACGUGCUCCCCCGUGCUCUCUGUGCUCCCCCGUGCUCUCUGUGCUCCCCUGUGCUCUCCAGUGCUCCCUGUGCCCUCUGUGCCCCCUGUGCUCCUCUGUCUCCCAUGUGCUCCCCUGUGCUCUUCAUGCUCCCCCGUGCUCUCUGUGCUCCCCUGUGCUCUCCGGUGCUCCCUGUGCCCUCUGUGCCCCCUGUGCUCCUCUGUGCUCCCACGUGCUCCCCUGUGCUCUUCAUGCUCCCCCAUGCUCUACGUGCUCCCCCGUGCUCUCUGUGCUCCCCUGUGCUCCUCUGUGCUCCCCUGUGCUGUCCGUGCUCCCCAGUGCUCCCCUGUGCCCCCUGUGCUCCUUUGUGCUCCCACGUGCUCCCCUGUGCUUUCCGUGCUCCCCCGUGCUCUCCGGUGCUCCCUGUGCCCUCUGUGUCCCCUGUGCUCCUUUGUGCUCCCACGUGCUCCCCUGUGCUUUCCGUGCUCCCCCGUGCUCCCCUGUGCCCCCUGUGCCCCCUGUGCUCCUCCGUGCUCUCCGUGCUCCCCUGUGCUCCUUCGUGUUCCUUUGUGCUCCUCAUGCUCUGCUAUGCUCCCCAUGCCUCCCCCAUACUCCCCCAUGCGCUUGUCCCCCCUAGAUGCAGUGGCCCCCUGGCCCUCUCUCCUGGCUGCCAACAGUGGGAGUGUUUCCUGGCAGGUAUUGAAUUUCCCGGGAUUUCCACAGUUCCCUUUGUAUCGGCUUGCCGAUCUUCCCUAUUUGCUGACACGUUGUUCUCAGACUUUCUUGCAGCUUGUUAG
RNAcentral lists this long non-coding RNA (1506 nucleotides) under Felis catus (domestic cat). RNAcentral describes it as "lncRNA (ENSFCAG00000049128.1)". Lineage: Eukaryota; Metazoa; Chordata; Mammalia; Carnivora; Felidae. The record is from RNAcentral.